Long non-coding RNA from Acipenser ruthenus (sterlet), 786 nucleotides. RefSeq lists it as uncharacterized. The transcript is spliced from 4 exons. The record is from RefSeq and is a predicted model, not a curated record. NCBI's taxonomy places the organism in Eukaryota, Metazoa, Chordata, Actinopteri, Acipenseriformes, Acipenseridae.
UCUGCCAGCGACAUUAUUGGGAACCUUUCUCAAGUUAUCAAUAGCAACAGCUGCAGCAGAUUUAACAUCAAUCGCUCAAGUGUAUGGGAUGGAGCGGUCCGGGGAUUCAUUCGUGCAUCAUACAACACAAACAGUGAAUUGUUUGUAAAGUUUACAGAUGACGCUGGUUGCUUUGAAGAGGCCAUUGAUAUGGGUGGUCCCAAAAGAGAGUUCCUGACACUUCUCAUUAGUAGCCUUAGAGAUCGGCCUAUAUUCGAUGGACCGUCAGAUAGCCGAUAUCUGACAUUCAAUUCAACAGAUACAGGAUGCCAAUUCUGUAGACAGUCUUCGAAACAUAAUUAUGCAAAACAGCGCUGUGCUACAAACAGCUGGAUGUUUCCAUUAUGUCCAAGAUCUGGAGGCCAAGGACAGAAUUGUGAAGGAAUAUCUGCUGUGGUACAUAAUCUACAGAAACCAUUUUGCUAUUCAAAGGUUCAAAGAGGGACUUGCAAGCCUGCAAUUUCUAACAGCUUUGGAACAACAUCCCACUUUAUUGGUGGGUUUCAUGUGCGACUCUGACAAAAAGCUCAGAGCUACAGACUUGGAAAACCUUUUCAAAGUGGAGCUAAGUGGAGUUGGAAGCAACAGACGAAGGAGAGAAAGUAAAACCAUAGGCUUCUGGGCAGACUACUUGCUUGAUUGUGAAGAACAAGAAAGUGCUGCGUCCCUGGAAGAUGUCCUAAUGUUCGCUACAGGGCUGAGAUCACUGCCACCUGCAGGAAUCCAACCACGGCCUUCUAUUGAGUU